GACGAACGCUGGCGGCGUGCUUAACACAUGCAAGUCGAACGGAAAGGCCCUGCUUUUGUGGGGUGCUCGAGUGGCGAACGGGUGAGUAACACGUGAGUAACCUGCCCUUGACUUUGGGAUAACUUCAGGAAACUGGGGCUAAUACCGGAUAGGAGCUCCUUCUGCAUGGUGGGGGUUGGAAAGUUUCGGCGGUUGGGGAUGGACUCGCGGCUUAUCAGCUUGUUGGUGGGGUAGUGGCUUACCAAGGCUUUGACGGGUAGCCGGCCCGAGAGGGUGACCGGCCACAUUGGGACUGAGAUACGGCCCAGACUCCUACGGGAGGCAGCAGUGGGGAAUAUUGCAAAAUGGGCGGAAGCCUGAUGCAGCAACGCCGCGUGCGGGAUGACGGCCUUCGGGUUGUAAACCGCUUUCGCCUGUGACGAAGCGUGAGUGACGGUAAUGGGUAAAGAAGCACCGGCUAACUACGUG
RNAcentral lists this ribosomal RNA (468 nucleotides) under uncultured bacterium. RNAcentral describes it as "partial 16S ribosomal RNA". It matches the Rfam family "Bacterial small subunit ribosomal RNA", at positions 28 to 507 of the family's 1533-position model. The record is from RNAcentral.